Small RNA from Xanthomonas oryzae pv. oryzae, 75 nucleotides. It matches the Rfam family "Xanthomonas sRNA sX9". The record is from Rfam. Lineage: Bacteria; Pseudomonadati; Pseudomonadota; Gammaproteobacteria; Lysobacterales; Lysobacteraceae.
AUGCACCAUGCGUACACCACGGUUCCUCCGCGCCGUCCACGCCAACCGGACGACGGCUCGCGACGUUUCUUCGCU